AUUGAACGCUGGUGGCAUGCUUUACACAUGCAAGUCGAACGGCAGCGCGGGCUUCGGCCUGGCGGCGAGUGGCGAACGGGUGAGUAAUGCAUCGGAACGUGCCCAGUAGUGGGGGAUAGCCCGGCGAAAGCCGGAUUAAUACCGCAUACGACCUGAGGGUGAAAGCGGGGGACCGAAAGGCCUCGCGCUAUUGGAGCGGCCGAUGCCGGAUUAGCUAGUUGGUGGGGUAAAGGCUUACCAAGGCGACGAUCCGUAGCUGGUCUGAGAGGACGACCAGCCACACUGGGACUGAGACACGGCCCAGACUCCUACGGGAGGCAGCAGUGGGGAAUUUUGGACAAUGGGGGCAACCCUGAUCCAGCCAUGCCGCGUGCGGGAAGAAGGCCUUCGGGUUGUAAACCGCUUUUGUUCGGGAAGAAAUCCUCUGGGCUAAUACCCCGGGGGGAUGACGGUACCGGAAGAAUAAGCACCGGCUAACUACGUG
RNAcentral lists this ribosomal RNA (484 nucleotides) under uncultured bacterium. RNAcentral describes it as "partial 16S ribosomal RNA". It matches the Rfam family "Bacterial small subunit ribosomal RNA", at positions 28 to 507 of the family's 1533-position model. The record is from RNAcentral.